RNAcentral lists this transfer RNA (24 nucleotides) under Tetraclita rubescens. Its description in RNAcentral is "partial tRNA-Met". The record is from RNAcentral. Lineage: Eukaryota; Metazoa; Arthropoda; Thecostraca; Balanomorpha; Tetraclitidae.
UUAAAAAAGAURAGCUAAAUUUAA